Molecule: ribosomal RNA, 338 nt
Filed under: Hepsetus odoe (African pike characin)
Lineage: Eukaryota; Metazoa; Chordata; Actinopteri; Characiformes; Hepsetidae
Description: eukaryotic LSU rRNA
Rfam family: Eukaryotic large subunit ribosomal RNA
Source: RNAcentral
ACCCGCUGAAUUUAAGCAUAUUACUAAGCGGAGGAAAAGAAACUAACGAGGAUUCCCCUAGUAGCGGCGAGCGAAGAGGGAAGAGCCCAGCGCCGAAUCCCCCGUCCCGCNCGGGCGUGGGGAAAUGUGGCGUACGGAAGACCGUUUCUCUCGGCGCGGGCCAGGUGUCUGAGUCCUUCUGAUGGAGGCUCAGCCCGUGGACGGUGUGAGGCCGGUAACGACCAGCCCCGCCGCGGUGNUCUUCUCGGAGUCGGGUUGCUUGGGAAUGCAGCCCAAAGCGGGUGGUAAACUCCAUCUAAGGCUAAAUACCGGCACGAGACCGAUAGCGAACAAGUACC